UGCUAGGUGGUUGGGAAUUUAAUGCAACUCCUUCAAUGCUAGCAUCACCUGCCAUGUUUCGUGGUCUCUUAUGUUGGCCCCUACCUCCUUUAAAGCUCGGUUCCAUUUCUCUCUCUGUUCUGUACAUCAACUACACAUCCCAAUAUGUCCACCCCCCAAGCCAUGAUUCUUCUCCAUUCAUACUUGGCUGUCUUUCCCAUCCGCAACCAUACAACGUUCUUUGCAAUUGAUGAAUCACCUCGCGGAGACGAACAUGAGAGGAGCACCUCAGUUCUGUUCGAGUUUGAUGUCGAGUCCAACCGACACGUGAGCUGAGUCCCUUGUUCGGUUUUUCAACCCUUCUCUGCGUAUAUUAUUCACGCAUUUUAUUCCCUUGAUUCCUUCUUUUUUGUAGAUGAACACUUGAAUGCAUUGGUGCGAAUAAAUGUUGAGGAAACUUCAGUGAUGACAA
Molecule: long non-coding RNA, 451 nt
Organism: Prosopis cineraria
Lineage: Eukaryota; Viridiplantae; Streptophyta; Magnoliopsida; Fabales; Fabaceae
Exons: 2
Source: RefSeq, a predicted model, not a curated record